UGCCCCUCUGGCUGUUUGGAUUUAUAAGAGUCUCCGCUACGAGUACAGUUUCAACUUGCGUGCUUAACGUGGGCGAAAUGCAACAAAGUAGCGUCCGUCAGUGUUAUCACUCGCUGACACAUAUCUACAGCAUCCGAUAUUGAUAUCAACACCUAUCGUCUCCACGGGGUUUAAAGCGACUCAAGGCAACGAGAUUAGCACCAAAUCGAAGUUCCUCGCAUCUCUCUUACUCCCUCCAGCGAUCGAGCAACAAUGGCUUCGUCCGGCUCCAGCAAUCUCCCGACGAAGGAAGUCCCAGGAUCAUACGGCCUGCCAGUCGUGGGUGCUCAAAAGGACAACUUGGACUUCCUCCACCUCCAAGGCGAGGUGGAGUUUUUCAAGAGCAGGGUGGCCAGGUACAAUAGCACCGUCUUCAAAGUUAACUUCAUCCCGGGAAAUCCAGCCUUCCCGGAUCCUCGCGGCAUCGCCCUCCUGGACCAGAGCUCCUUCCCGGUCCUGCUCGACAGCUCCAAGGUGGACAAGACCAACGUGUUCACGGGCUCCUACAAGGCAUCCGACGAUUUCACGGGAGGAUACCGGGUGCUGUCCUACCUCGACACCACCGAUCCCAAGCACGCAACGCUCAAGAACUUCGCCUUCGAGGUGCUCAAGCGAAAUGGCCGCAAGUUCCUGCCUGAGUUCCAGUCGGCCUCCCACGCCGCGUUCGAUGCCGCCGAGUCGGAGCUCUCGUCCGGGAAGAACAAGGCCGACAUGGCACCGCUGCUCAACCAGCUCGCCUUCCAGUUCCUGGCCAAGUCCAUCGUCAACGUGGAUCCGUUGACCACCAAGCUCGCUGACCAGGGCCCGACUCACCUCCUCCGUUGGCGGGAUCCAGUUCGCGCCGGUAGCGCCUGGCAAUAGCACUCCACUGCCCGGAUUCGCCGAGGACGUCGUCAUACGUACCGCGCCACUGCCAUUCCUGCUCGUCAAGGCCGACUACGACAAGCUCUGCGAGUUCUUCCAGCUCGCCACUGAGAUGCUCGACAUGGGCGAGAAGGAGUUUGGGCUGUCGCGAGAGGAGGCCGUGCACCAGCUGCUCUUCCUCGUCGGGAUGAACAGCUGGUUUGGAUUCAGCGCCAGAGUGCUGCCCAAUCUUCUCUACCGUGUUGGAACUCUCGGGGCCGAGUUCCAGAAGAGGCUCGGGGAUGAGAUCCGUGCUGCGAUCGACGUGAGCGAUCCGGCGGGGUCGUUCUACGGCGCACUGGAGAAAAUGCCACUGCUCAAGUCGACUGUGCUGGAGGUCUUCCGGUUUGAUCCGCCCGUGCUCUACCAGUACGGACGCCCCCGGGAGGAUAUGGUGGUGGAGUCACACGAUGCGAAGUUUGUGAUCAAGAAGGGACAGCUCUUGGGUGGGUCGCAGGCACUGGUUUGCCGAGAUCCAAAGGUGUUUGAGGAGCCGGAUCAGUUGAUCCCGGACAGGUUUGUGGGGAAGGAGGAGCUCCAGGCGAAUGUGUUUUGGUCCAAUGGAAGGAAUACGAAGUCACCGACCGCGGAUGACAAGCAGUGUGCUGGGAAGAAUUUUGUGGAGACAAUCGCCAGGUUCUACCUGGUGCAGUUGUUUGCGAGAUACAAGACUUUUGAGCUGAGUGAGGACUCCACACUCAACACUCCGUUUCUCAAGUCAUUUGCACGAAAUUAGUGUAAGAACUAGCUAAAUAUAUAAAGUGUCGCAGAGGGAUCGCGCUGGAGAGUUCGCAGCGAUCGAGCGCACAGAUGCUGCUUGGUUUUCAGCAAAAUCUCGGUACAGCUUUUCCUUGUAAAACUGUUUUAGUUGUGUUCUGAUGAGUGUUUUAGAAAUGCUCCGCAGGCCACAAUUUGGUAUGUUUUAAAUGUUUAACUUCAAAAUUUAGAAUUUAAGAAGUGUAUUCAUUAAAAUACAAUAUUACAAUAAAAAAAUAAUUUUAUGGCUCAAUGCCACAAGUAAAGAUGUGCUAAAAGACUAUAACCACAUGUUUCUCAAAAGUUAAUUCGUAUUUUUUCUUACUUUAUUUUUAAUUUAUUUAAAUUUAUUAUAAUAAUGGAAUGUAAAUAAAUUUAUUUUAAUAUAUUUAAAAUAAUAAUUCUUUAAAAGUAUUUUAUAAAGUAAUUAAUAUGAAAAUUUUUAAAUUAAUAUUUUAAAAUUGCUGGAAAGUAAAGUUAUAAUCAUAUUAUUGAUUAUAAAUUAUAAAAAUAUUAUUAAAAAGCUCAGAGUAAUCACAAAAACUUAUAAAAUAUCCUAUCGAUAUCUCAACCCAAAAGAUUAAUCUAGAGUAAACCAUAGAAAAUAUGUGGUAAUGUGAAAAGCCAAAAUCCAUAAAAAAGAAUAAUUAACCAUCGUGAAUUUUAACAUGAGAUCAACACUAUUAUGUUCUAAAAACCAAUCUAAUAUGUUUCUUGAGAUUUUAGAUUCCGAGUUCUCUAAGCUGUUUUGACGACUCGCGUGCCGUCGGCUUUGACUCGGUCAGGUCAAUAUUGUUCAUUGUAUUGACGAGACUAAACCGUGGAUUAGACUGAAUGGGGGGCGAACUCUCCGGUCGAAGCUGCGGCAUUGCUCUUCCAGCAAAUGAGGAUCUCUCUUUCAGUCCGUGAUCAACAGGUGGGCGAAGAAUGAGUAACGCUGCAAGCUACUCCGUCUUUUGGAAUUGUCUACGGCGUAUACUGCGACCGGAACACCAUGCCAAGUGGUGGUACUCAACCGUUCACAUCGUGACGGCCAUGGUAGGAGCCGGAGUUCUGAGCCUUCCGUCGACAAUGGUCUACCUGGGAUGGUAAAUUCUUCGGGAAAAUUCAUGGACAUGAGCGACUAACUUAGUAUCUCCACAGGGCUCCUGGAAUGAUGAUGCUGGGCGUUUCGUGGAUAAUCACACUGGCUACCAUGUACCAAAUGAUUGAGAUGCACGAGGACGAGUCAGGGAGACACGACACUUACCAGUGUCUCGGCCGGAAAGCAUUCGGGGACAGGCUUGGCAAUCUCAUUGUUGGCUCGCAGCAGAUCGUAGGUCAGGUGACCACCAACAUUGCUUACUUGGUAACUGGAGGCCAGGCGCUUAAAAGGUUCGGGGAUCUUGUUCUGAGUCGCGAGAUUCACUACGGGAAGUUUGAGCCUGCUGUGUUAUGGAUAUCCGCGUUUGCUGGAGUUCAAGCGGUGCUGUCGUUGUUUGCCAGUUUCUCGUCCAUGACAAUCGUCUCUCUGAUAGCCUCCAUCAUGUCUUUCAGGUAAAAUCCUGUUAUUUCUUUGUUUUAUAUUUUCUUGUUGUAGGAGAAUGUAAUUCACAUUUCACUCAGCUACUCAACUAUAGUUUGGGCAACAGCUAUCCGGCUUAAGAGUUCGCAAGCAUCGUAUGGCUACUGCAACUUGACAUACUACAAAGCCUUUAAUGCACUCGGAGAGAUUGCGUUUGCCUACGGAGGCCACAGCAUUGCUCUCGAGAUCCAAGCGACGAUGAGAUCGACGAGGCACAAGCCGUCUAAGCUACCAAUGUGGAAUGGAGUUUUGGUGGCCUAUGUCAUGGUUGCCGUUUGCUAUUUCCCAGUCGCUGGAGUUGGCUACUGGGCUCUCGGCAACUUGACUUGCUACGAAAACGUUCUGGACGUCCUCGACAAACCAAAGUGGCUGAUAGGAACAGCCAACUUGAUGCUUAUGCUGCACCUCACAGGGAGUUACCAGGUAAGCUAGGCUUCCAUUGGUUCCUCGUUCUUACGUGCUCCAUGCCAGGUUUUUGCUUUGCCGAUUUACGAGGGACUGGAGCAAAAGAAUAUGCCAAUCAAUGCUUUGAUUAGGCCUCUUUACGUAGGUAAGGGGGGGUUAUUCUUCUUGGUGAAUUUUCACAAGCUUGAGUUGCCAGGAUUUACGUGUUUGGUUGCGGUGAUCCUACCUUCGUUUUCCGGGCUUCUGGGAUUAUUCGGUGGGCUCGCUCUUGGACCAACAACGUAUUUCGUACGUAUCAGUGACUUAAAACUUUCCUUUCUUCUCUCUGACGUGUUUCCAGCAGUUGCCGUGUAUAAUGUGGCUAAGCAUCAAGAAGCCAAGAGUCCUUGGUCUUGAGUGGCUUUUAAAUUGGGUAAAAAUCUCAUCAUUUUAAGCUUUUGACAUGGUGGUGCGAACCAAUGCAGGCAUGCAUUUUGUUUGGCGUCGUCCUCACGAUUGUGUCGGCAAUUGGAAGCAUCGUAAAUCUCAAACACGGCUUCGAAGAGCAAAAUCUCAAAGUAUUCUACUUCCCGCGAUUGCAGCAGUGCAGCUCGACCUCAACAAACGCAAGCUGUCCCGUGCGGCAUUGAAUUCCCCUCGCUUGAUUCUCCAGGCUCCAGCUAGCGCUCUGCAAUGACAAGUAUUUCGACGAUAAUAUUUUCAUCAAGUACUUUGCAUGUGCCCCUCUGACUGUUUGGAUUUAGUAGAGUCUCCGCUACGAGUACAGUUUCAACUUGCGUGCUUAACGUGGGCGAAAUGCAACAAAGUAGCAUUCGUCAGUGUUAUCACUCGCUGACACAUAUCUACAGCACCAAUACGCCAUCCGAUAUUGAUAUCAAUACCUAUCGUCUCCAGGGGGUUUAAAAGCGACUCAAGGCAACGAGAUUAGCACCAAAACAAAGCUCCUUGCAUCUCUCUUACUCCCUCCAGAGAUCGAGCAACAAUGGCUUCAUCCGGCUCCAGCAAUCUCCCGACGAAGGAAGUCCCAGGAUCAUACGGCCUGCCAGUCCUGGGUGCUCAAAAGGACAACUUGGACUUCCUCCACCUCCAAGGCGAGGUGGAGUUUUUCAAGAGCAGGGUGGCCAAGUACAAUAGCACCGUCUUCAAAGUUAACUUCAUUCCGGGAAAUCCAGCCUUCCCGGAUCCUCGCGGCAUCGCCCUCCUGGACCAGAGCUCCUUCCCAGUCCUGCUCGACAGCUCCAAGGUGGACAAGACCAACGUGUUCACGGGCUCCUACAAGGCAUCCGACGAUUUCACGGGAGGAUACCGGGUGCUGUCCUACCUCGACACCACCGAUCCCAAGCACGCAACGCUCAAGAACUUCGCCUUCGAGGUGCUCAAGCGAAAUGGCCGCAAGUUCCUGCCUGAG
This 5075-nucleotide long non-coding RNA is filed under the name Selaginella moellendorffii. RNAcentral's name for it is "long non-coding RNA (SMOE_LNC000824)". Lineage: Eukaryota; Viridiplantae; Streptophyta; Lycopodiopsida; Selaginellales; Selaginellaceae. The record is from RNAcentral.